Molecule: small RNA, 649 nt
Filed under: Pongo abelii (Sumatran orangutan)
Lineage: Eukaryota; Metazoa; Chordata; Mammalia; Primates; Hominidae
Description: processed transcript
Source: RNAcentral
CAUCAACCACAGCAGCCAAAAGGGGGAAGCCACCCAAGGGUCGGCUGUCGGGUGAACGGGUCAGCAAAGUGUCGUGUGCAAAACGCAGUGAAGUGUGACUCAGCCUGAGAAGCAGCGAAGCUGGGGCCGGCGCUGUAGCGUGGACGAGCCUCAGGGACACUGUGCCGAACGAACUUGCUUGCCUUUUGUUUUAGCAGCUGCAGUAUCUCGGAAGAAAAAACGAAGAAUGGGAACCUAUAGCCUGGUUCCUAAGAAAAAGACCAAAGUAUUAAAACAGAGGACGGUCAUUGAGAUGUUUAAGAGCAUAACUCAUUCCACUGUGGGUUCCAAGGGGGAGAAGGACCUGGGCGCCAGCAGCCUGCACGUGAAUGGGGAGAGCCUGGAGCUGGACUCAGAUGAGGACGACUCAGAGGAGCUCGAGGAGGACGACGGCCAUGGCGCAGAGCAGGCGGCUGCGUUCCCCACAGAGGACAGCAGGACUUCCAAGGAGAGCAUGUCGGAGGCUGAUCGUGCCCAGAAGAUGGACGGGGAGUCCGAGGAGGAGCAGGAGUCCGUGGACACCGGGGAGGAGGAGGAAGGCGGUGACGAGUCUGACCUGAGUUCGGAAUCCAGCAUCAAGAAGAAAUUUCUCAAGAGGAAAGGAAAGACU